Toxorhynchites rutilus septentrionalis is the source of this 1346-nucleotide long non-coding RNA. RefSeq lists it as uncharacterized. The record is from RefSeq and is a predicted model, not a curated record. The transcript has 3 exons. NCBI's taxonomy places the organism in Eukaryota, Metazoa, Arthropoda, Insecta, Diptera, Culicidae.
UCCAAGAUGGCUGAAAGGCUUUUUUCAUAAGUUGCGCUACCGUAUUGUAUCUAUCGUGAUGAUAAGGUACACCGGGACCAAGAUGUGUAGAAUAAAGGUGUGACCGUGUCGUCAAUAAGUGCGCGAGGGGAAACGGUAUAAACAUACAGAGGACUGUGGAAAGGGAUUUGACUGCAAAGCGGGGGAAAAAUAUUGCUGUCAAGUUUGACUCUGAUGAACAUUCCACGAACGAGAAUAUUUCUGGAUUAUAAAAAUCAUUUAACAUCAAUUAACAUCGAAUAACAUUACAAUUGUUUGUUAUCAAAACAUUUGAAUUGUGCCAAGAAAUAAGGAUAGUUUAUUUGGGCAGAGGAAUCACCUGUGAGGAAUUUCGAGAUGGCUAAUUUCUGUGCCGUUAAGGGUUGCGAAAUAACUCGUUCUCGAUACAAAAAUGAAGCUGAAUGUAUUACCGUGCAUAGAUUUCCCAAAAGAGAGGAUCUGCUCUUGAAAUGGAUCGCUUAUUGUGGACAACAAAAACAGUGGAAACCUCUAGGUAACCAAGGAAUUUGUUCCAAACAUUUCGAUUCCUCUUGCUAUAAAAGGAAUGAAGAGUGCGAAAAUGUCUCAUACUCGGUUGAGGGGCGUCGAAGAAUCAAUGCUGAUGCAUUACCAGGGAAUCCUGAACACUGGACUCAAUAGGGAGAAGCUGAAAAUCAACCCGCCGACAGAGCAAGAAGUAGUAGUAAUGAAAUAGAAAAUGUCGAGAUAUCUUGUGAGUUUUUCUUCUUCAUUUCGUUACACAAAUAUGUUGUUCAUAUGUUUUAUGUUGUACUGAGAUGCAACAUAUUAUGAAUACUUUUAUUACAUAUUGUUGAAAUAUGUUUUUUUUUUCUGAACAGCUGUUCAAUUUUAACAAGUUGAUCUAUAGAAAUCAUAUCCAUAUGUUUCAAAAUUGACGUGUUGCAUACUGUUGAUUAAUGAAAAAUGAGUAUCAAUAGUUCAAUAGAUUUGCAAUAAUCUCAUUGAGUAUAAGUUUAAAACCAAUUCAUUACCGAUUGAUAAAAAUCUGUAAGGCUUUUCUGUUCAGAUUAGUAUAGAAACCGUCAGUUUUGUUCAUCGAUAGCAGCGAUACUAUGCCGAAGAAUAUCACCGCUGGGGCGGAUGCAGUCGAAUAUAUGAAUCUGAUGCACGUUUAUAGACUGAAUGUCUACUCAAUGCUUAAACUCAAUACUCUGGUUCUGACUAGAAGCGCAGCGCAGGAAAUUGAAUCGAAAUUAAGCGAACAUUCACAUCGCAACGAUGCGAAGUCAUUUAUGACGAAAUUCCAUGUCGAUCGGUAAAUCAUUAGCAUCAUGAAAUAAAAUCGA